Cercophora sp. LCS_1 is the source of this 80-nucleotide non-coding RNA. NCBI's taxonomy places the organism in Eukaryota, Fungi, Ascomycota, Sordariomycetes, Sordariales, Lasiosphaeriaceae. The record is from the annotation of a GenBank genome assembly.
UCUUCCGUAGUAUAGUGGUCAGUAUGUGAGCUUGUCAUGAGACUUCGCUCGAGACCCGGGUUCAAUUCCCGGCGGGAGAG